UACGGAGGGUGCAAGCGUUAAUCGGAAUUACUGGGCGUAAAGCGUACGUAGGCGGUUCGUUAAGUUAGAUGUGAAAGCCCCGGGCUUAACCUGGGAACUGCAUUUAAAACUGGCGAACUAGAGUUGAGUAGAGGGGAGUGGAAUUUCAGGUGUAGCGGUGAAAUGCGUAGAGAUCUGAAGGAACACCAGUGGCGAAGGCGACUCCCUGGACUCGAACUGACGCUGAGGUACGAAAGCGUGGGUAGCAAACGGGAUUAGAUACCCCAGUAGUCC
RNAcentral lists this ribosomal RNA (273 nucleotides) under uncultured bacterium. Its description in RNAcentral is "partial 16S ribosomal RNA". It matches the Rfam family "Bacterial small subunit ribosomal RNA", at positions 524 to 796 of the family's 1533-position model. The record is from RNAcentral.